UACGUAGGUGGCAAGCGUUGUCCGGAUUUACUGGGCGUAAAGAGCGCGCAGGCGGUCGUUCAAGUCGAGUGUGAAAGCCCCCGGCUCAACUGGGGAGGGUCAUUCGAUACUGAUCGACUCGAAGGCAGGAGAGGGAAGUGGAAUUCCCGGUGUAGUGGUGAAAUGCGUAGAUAUCGAGAGGAACACCUGCGGCGAAGGCGGGUUGCUGGGCUGACACUGACGCUGAUGUGCGAAAGCUAGGGGAGCGAACGGG
This 253-nucleotide ribosomal RNA is filed under the name uncultured bacterium. RNAcentral's name for it is "partial 16S ribosomal RNA". It matches the Rfam family "Bacterial small subunit ribosomal RNA", at positions 524 to 776 of the family's 1533-position model. The record is from RNAcentral.